Molecule: long non-coding RNA, 1132 nt
Filed under: Homo sapiens (human)
Lineage: Eukaryota; Metazoa; Chordata; Mammalia; Primates; Hominidae
Description: HSALNT0296436
Source: RNAcentral
UAAAAACACGCACUACAGCCAUGGUUCAGGCCCACUGAGGCUGAGGAAAUAAAAAACAGGUGUGAUACUUCCAUUAUGGUCAAAUAAAAUUUCUAGGCAAGCUGUAACAUUUUUGAGUUGGAAUUUUAAGUAACAGAGAUUCAAGAACAAAUUACAAAAUGAUUAAAGUUAAAUUUAAAAGGCAAAGAACCAUUAAUAGGUAUUUAACAGAAAUCUCUUUUUGAACAAAAUACCUUGUUGGAAAAUCAAGAAGUUCAACCAACUUGUUUCCACCCCAAUUUACUCUUAACUUUAUUUAAACUGUUCUACUUACUCAAGCAUUUAUGAAUAUCAAAGUUGUAUUAUAUAUUACGUGAGAGCUCCCGCUCAGUAAUAACUAUGAUUCUAGCUAAUGUGCAUAGGUAAACAGGCCGUAAGAGCCAGGGCUUAACAUUUUCUCACCUGGUAACUUUCGUAAUUCGAUUUUUCCUUGUGACAUACCUAGAAACCUUUAUUACAUAUGCAGUAGGCACAAUCCAGGACACAUUUACGAAUAAUUACCUUCUCUCAAUUGGGAAGACAAGGACCUAUGGUAACAGCUCCAUAAUUAUGAGUAACGCUUAAGUCAAGAAAAACACCAAUCCUUAUUCUUCCCCACUAUUUGAAGGGAACCAACAAAACAAUCCUUAAAUUAUUCAUCAUCAUUACUUCCACCUGUGAUCAAUUAUCAAUGAAUUAAAACAUAUCUAAGGUUUGCUCAUUCGUAUUGCCUACCAGGAUUGGUGAAAUGUAGGGAAAGAACAAAGAAGGUCACUAGUCUAACAUUCUAGGAUGGGAGCUGGCAAACUUUUUCUGUAAAGGACCAGAGAGUAAAUAUUUUAGGCUUUGUGAACCAAAAGGUAAAAUUGAGGAUACCAUAAACAGCACUAGCAGCCAUGAUACAACCCUCUUAUGAUGACAGUGCUGCUCAAAUGUCUUCUGAGAGGAAGUUCUGUUGCUAUACCAAACAACCGUACUUAUCUCCUGAGGCAGUUACAGGAAGCACAGACAACUGACAAAUGUCAACCAAGUACACCUUUUCACAGGCCAUGCAAUACAAGUAACUUUUGUUCACUAACAUCAGAUGACAGAUUAAAUAGAAAUAUGGCUAAUA